This 173-nucleotide small nuclear RNA is filed under the name Catagonus wagneri (Chacoan peccary). RNAcentral's name for it is "U2 spliceosomal RNA (ENSCWAG00000003326.1)". The stretch from base 1 to 109 matches the Rfam family "U2 spliceosomal RNA". Rfam says of the family: U2 is a small nuclear RNA (snRNA) component of the spliceosome (involved in pre-mRNA splicing). The record is from RNAcentral. Lineage: Eukaryota; Metazoa; Chordata; Mammalia; Artiodactyla; Tayassuidae.
AUCGCUUCUCAACUUUUUGGCUAAGAUCAAGUGCAGUAUCUGUUCUUAUCAGUUUAAUAGUAAAUACCAUAGUACUACAUGAUCUGCAGCUGGUUGAUGCAGAACCAUGGAUGUGGAGAAACCCUGGGUACAGAGGGCCAACUGUAAGUUUUACAGUUUUUCCCCUACACAGA